Molecule: ribosomal RNA, 1710 nt
Filed under: Triticum aestivum (bread wheat)
Lineage: Eukaryota; Viridiplantae; Streptophyta; Magnoliopsida; Poales; Poaceae
Description: partial small subunit ribosomal RNA
Source: RNAcentral
CAGUGUUCUGAAGCCCAAAGCGUCCGAUCAAUCAGAGAAAAUCAUCCCUCCAUAUCUCUCCAGCUCUUCUUCCUCCUCCUCCUCCUCGUCAGCUCCCGAGUUCUUCCUGAGCGAAGCAAGCCAAGGCAAGCUAGGUAGCAGAUCCAAGAAGGAGAAGCGAUGUCGGACGUGACGGCGGUGAUGGAUCUGGAGGAGGAGGAGCCGCGGCUGUCGCUCCCGCCGGGCUUCCGCUUCCACCCGACGGACGAGGAGGUGGUCACCCACUACCUCACCCCCAAGGCCGUCAACAACGCCUUCUCCUGCCUCGUGAUCGCCGACGUCGACCUCAACAAGACCGAGCCGUGGGAUCUCCCCGGGAAGGCGAAGAUGGGGGAGAAGGAGUGGUACUUCUUCGUGCACAAGGAUCGCAAGUACCCGACAGGGAUGCGCACCAACCGCGCCACGGAGAAGGGGUACUGGAAGGCGACGGGGAAGGACAAGGAGAUCUUCCGCGGCAAGGGCCGGGACGCCGUGCUCGUCGGCAUGAAGAAGACGCUCGUCUUCUACACCGGCCGCGCGCCCCGCGGCGAUAAGACGCCCUACGUCAUGCACGAGUACCGCCUCGAGGGCCAGCUGCCCCACCGCCUCCCCCGCUCCGCCAAGAACGAUUGGGCUGUUUGCCGGGUGUUCGACAAGGACUUGGCGGCGAAGAAUGCGCCGCCCCAGACGGCGCCGGCGGCCGUCGGGGUCAUGGAGGACCCGUACGCCUUCCUCGACGUCGACGACUUCCUCAACAACCCCGACCUGCUCAACAACGCCGACCUGCCGAUGCUCAUGGACUCCCCGUCAGGCGCCGACGACUUCGCCGGCGCCUCGAGCUCCACCUCCAGCGCCGCCGUGCCGUUCGAGCCGGACAUGGAGCAUCUUUCCAUCAAGACGGAGCCGCCGGUGCCGCAGCAGCAGAUGCAGAGCCCCAACUACUUCUACAUGCCGGCGGCGACGCCCAACGGCAACCAUGGCGGCGCCGGGUACUCACCCUACCAGGCCAUGGGGGACCAGCAGACCGCGAUCCGCAGGCACUGCAAGCCGGAGGCGGCGUCUUCGUCGGCGCUGCUGAGCCCUUCGCUGGGCUUCGACGCGGGGGCGCUCGCCGGCGCGGACACCUCGUCGUUCCUGAUGCCGUCGUCGCGGUCGUACCUCGAUCUGGAGGUCAUGGACUACUCCAACAUGUGGAAGAUCUGAUUGAAUCCAUCCAUCUCUCCGAUGGACUGGAGCGUCUCCGUUUGCUGGUAGCUAUAGAUGGUUAAUUUGGUUGGUGCUAGCUCUUGGAUUGAUUAGUUGCUUCAUUAACUUUGAUUAAGGAUUGGGUUAAUUAGGCGCGCGGCGAUGAUUCGAGGGGGAUCGUCGUGUGUUUGUUGUUGACGCGUGCAAGGCAUAAUGAUGGCCUGUGAGCGAGGGAGUGCUGAUUAAUCUUAAUUAGGGUGUGGUAUCAAACUGCUAGGAGGCAUCUGUAGUUUGUACAUAGGUACCGAAUUGCCAUCAUACAGUUCAGUGAUUAGGGGAUGAAUUGGAGGGUGAGAGAUAUACCGAGACCGACUUGAUUGAUGAAUCUGAUUGUGUGUUAAUUGAAAUGAAUUAUUCCCCUUCUAAUUGUUCUAUUUAUUUGAUCGUUGCUUGAUCUUAGUAUAUGUCAUGGUUGAUUCUGGGGUCAUGGUUAUUGGACGGUUUUGU